GGUUAAGCGACUAAGCGUACACGGUGGAUGCCUAGGCAAUCAGAGGCGAUGAAGGACGUGCUAAUCUGCGAAAAGCGUCGGUAAGGUGAUAUGAACCGUUAUAGCCGACGAUGUCCGAAUGGGGAAACCCAGUGCAAUUCGUUGCACUAUCGUUUGAUGAAUCCAUAGUCAAACGAGGCGAACCGGGGGAACUGAAACAUCUCAGUACCCCGAGGAAAAGAAAUCAACCGAGAUUCCCCUAGUAGCGGCGAGCGAACGGGGAGCAGCCCAGAGUCUUAAUCAGCAUCAGCAUCAGGAGAACGGUCUGGAAAGGCCGGCAAUAAAGGGUGAUAGCCCCGUAUCCGAAGGUGUUGGUGUUGUGAACUCGACGAGUAGGGCGGGACACGUGUUAUCCUGUCUGAAUAUGGGGGGACCAUCCUCCAAGGCUAAAUACUCCUGAUUGACCGAUAGUGAACCAGUACCGUGAGGGAAAGGCGAAAAGAACCCCGGCGAGGGGAGUGAAAUAGAACCUGAAACCGUGUACGUACAAGCAGUGGGAGCCUUGAUUUAUCAGGGUGACUGCGUACCUUUUGUAUAAUGGGUCAGCGACUUAUAUUCUGUAGCAAGGUUAACCGAAUAGGGGAGCCGUAGGGAAACCGAGUCUUAACUGGGCGAAUGAGUUGCAGGGUAUAGACCCGAA
This 679-nucleotide ribosomal RNA is filed under the name Providencia stuartii. Its description in RNAcentral is "partial 23S ribosomal RNA". It matches the Rfam family "Bacterial large subunit ribosomal RNA", at positions 1 to 719 of the family's 2925-position model. The record is from RNAcentral. Lineage: Bacteria; Pseudomonadati; Pseudomonadota; Gammaproteobacteria; Enterobacterales; Morganellaceae.